Molecule: ribosomal RNA, 495 nt
Filed under: uncultured bacterium
Lineage: Bacteria
Description: bacterial SSU rRNA
Rfam family: Bacterial small subunit ribosomal RNA
Source: RNAcentral
AUUGAACGCUGGCGGCAUGCCUUACACAUGCAAGUCGAACGGCAGCGGGCCUUCGGGUGCCGGCGAGUGGCGAACGGGUGAGUAAUGCAUCGGAACGUGCCAUUGAGUGGGGGAUAACGUAGCGAAAGUUGCGCUAAUACCGCAUAUUCUGUGAGCAGGAAAGCAGGGGACCGCAAGGCCUUGCGCUCUUUGAGCGGCCGAUGUCAGAUUAGCUAGUUGGUGAGGUAAAGGCUUACCAAGGCGACGAUCUGUAGCGGGUCUGAGAGGAUGAUCCGCCACACUGGAACUGAGACACGGUCCAGACUCCUACGGGAGGCAGCAGUGGGGAAUUUUGGACAAUGGGGGGCAACCCUGAUCCAGCCAUGCCGCGUGAGUGAAGAAGGUCUUCGGGUUGUAAAAGCUCUUUUCGGCCGGGAAGAAAUCGCAUGGGUGAAUACCCUGUGUGGAUGACGGUACCGGAACAAGAAGCACCGGCUAACUACGUGCCAGCAGCCG